GAUGAACGCUGGCGGCGUGCCUAAUACAUGCAAGUCGAGCGAACGGACGAGAAGCUUGCUUCUCUGAUGUUAGCGGCGGGCGGGUGAGUAACACGUGGAUAACCUACCUAUAAGACUGGGAUAACUUCGGGAAACCGUAGCUAAUACCGGAUAAUAUUUUGAACCGCAUGGUUCAAAAGUGAAAGACGGUCUUUCUGUCACUUAUAGAUGGAUCCGCGCUGCAUUAGCUAGUUGGUAAGGUAACGGCUUACCAAGGCAACGAUGCAUAGCCGACCUGAGAGGGUGAUCGGCCACACUGGAACUGAGACAGGGUCCAGACUCCUACGGGAGGCAGCAGUAGGGAAUCUUACGCAAUGGGCGAAAGCCUGACGGAGCAACGCCGCGUGAGUGAUGAAGGUCUUCGGAUCGUAAAACUCUGUUAUUAGGGGAGAACAUAUGUGUAAGUAACUGUGCACAUCUUGACGGUACCUAGUCAGAAAGCCACGGCUAACUACGUG
RNAcentral lists this ribosomal RNA (497 nucleotides) under uncultured bacterium. Its description in RNAcentral is "partial 16S ribosomal RNA". It matches the Rfam family "Bacterial small subunit ribosomal RNA", at positions 28 to 507 of the family's 1533-position model. The record is from RNAcentral.